CUUUGACUUCUAAGAGCAAGAGUUCUCAUGAAAUUAGGGAAGGUCGUAGAUCACUUCUUUAUAUACAGCGUCUUGAUUGAUUGAUUCCCGUUUGCUUUGCUUGCCGAACUGUGCGCUUGUAGCUUUUGGUAGCCUGUACUUGAGGGCAAGUCGCUCUAAAGGUAGACUCGGUGAAAGCUGUUAGGGCAUAGGUGAUUGCUUAUAUGAAAUUAUUUGGAGAUUCAUUCAUCUCGAUGCACUGUGCUUUAUUGCUUCUUCCCACCCUCCACCCAUCGAAUCGAAUUCAUUUUCAUUUGUUUUCUCUCGAGGUCAUGCCUUUAUCAUUUUUGCUAUGGACUUUAACAAAUAGAGGCAGAGCCACACCGAAAGGUGACUAAGAAAAGGGCUCUG
RNAcentral lists this long non-coding RNA (390 nucleotides) under Gossypium barbadense (sea-island cotton). Its description in RNAcentral is "long non-coding RNA (GBAR_LNC010369)". Lineage: Eukaryota; Viridiplantae; Streptophyta; Magnoliopsida; Malvales; Malvaceae. The record is from RNAcentral.